RNAcentral lists this ribosomal RNA (460 nucleotides) under uncultured bacterium. RNAcentral's name for it is "partial 16S ribosomal RNA". It matches the Rfam family "Bacterial small subunit ribosomal RNA", at positions 338 to 795 of the family's 1533-position model. The record is from RNAcentral.
CCUACGGGGGGCAGCAGUGAGGAAUAUUGGUCAAUGGACGAGAGUCUGAACCAGCCAAGCAGCGUGAAGGAUGACUGCCCUAUGGGUUGUAAACUUCUUUUAUAUGGGAAUAAAAUGUUCCACGUGUGGGAUUUUGUAUGUACCAUACGAAUAAGGAUCGGCUAACUCCGUGCCAGCAGCCGCGGUAAUACGGAGGAUCCGAGCGUUAUCCGGAUUUAUUGGGGUUAAAGGGAGCGUAGGUGGAUUGUUAAGUCAGUUGUGAAAGUUUGCGGCUCAACCGUAAAAUUGCAGUUGAUACUGGCAGUCUUGAGUACAGUAGAGGUAGGCGGAAUUCGUGGUGUAGCGGUGAAAUGCUUAGAUAUCACGAAGAACACCGAUUGCGAAGGCAGUUCACUGGACUGCAACUGACGCUGAGGCUCGAAAGUGUGGGGAUCAAACAGGAUUAGAUACCCUUGUAGUC